This is a long non-coding RNA of Sinocyclocheilus anshuiensis, 841 nucleotides long. RefSeq lists it as uncharacterized. The record is from RefSeq and is a predicted model, not a curated record. The transcript is spliced from 6 exons. NCBI's taxonomy places the organism in Eukaryota, Metazoa, Chordata, Actinopteri, Cypriniformes, Cyprinidae.
CGGCGAUUGCUCGAGCGGAGAUUGUCUGAUAUCCAUUAUCCUUAUUGAUUUAUUUUUUCGUCUUGCAAUGACAACUGACCAAACAGUUCUAUUAAGAACUACUCUUCUUUCUCUGCCUUCUGCCUUCUUUCCCUUAUUUCUGUAUUCACCUUUUGUGUACCUGACUAUCGGUUAUGACAGGUGUACCACUUGCUUUUGGAGUAGAUGACAUCUAUUCUGGGACAGGCAGUUGUCCUACACUGGACAGCUGGGGUGAUGUCAAAUCCUGAACACUUUCAGGCAAAGCAUUUAAAGCAUGCCAUAUAUUUUGAGGAUAAUGGCAUCCAAAAAUAUUGCUUUCCUUGCUUUUGUUUGAGUUCCCGACAAAGGAAGAGGUGACAUUGGCAUUGCCCUAAGUGCCAGCAUAUCUUGUCGUGCCCCUGACUUUAAAAAGCACCUCCAUAAUCAUGAAGUCUGGUGGAUACAGACUCAUUUCGAAAGAGGGCACACUUCUGCUGGCUUGACAGUGUAACAAAAUGGAGAACAAAGUCCGAGCCAUGCCAGGAAUUUUACAAAAUGUACACACUGCAGCCUUGCAGACACUGCAGUGAGCUUUACACGAACUGCUUACCAGGUGUGCAAAUUAUGCAUAAAUGUGAUCACUGCUAGGUACUUGAUGAUAAAAUGCAAUACGAAUAAUCAUUAAUAUGGCUGUGCAUGCAUGUCUACUGUUCAGAAGGCAGUUUAGGUAUUAAUGUCACCAUUUUCUUAUGAAUCCUCUAGGCUAUGUGGAACUGGAUGAGGAGUAAUUUCUAACUGCGAAAUUCUGAAAAAACAGAGGUGUUAAUUUAUCGGACCAAAA